This is a long non-coding RNA of Meleagris gallopavo (turkey), 1134 nucleotides long. RefSeq lists it as uncharacterized. The record is from RefSeq and is a predicted model, not a curated record. NCBI's taxonomy places the organism in Eukaryota, Metazoa, Chordata, Aves, Galliformes, Phasianidae.
GAUUUUUUUUUUCCGAAGCCCAAAAUAAAUUACUUCAAACAAAAGGCAGGAUGGAUUUUUGUAUUAAAACAUUUUCAGCAUGAAAUAAAAGUUUGUGAAUCCACCGGAGCUUAGAAACUACAAAGUGAGAAGGCUGCUUCAGCUGAUGCUCUUGCAUCAAGAUUGCACAACCCAACCAAUGGAUUCAUAGGCCCACAGACACAAUGCACUGUGCCUGUGCCCCCUGCUCCUCACCCUUCAUCCACCGCCAUGCUCCUGCAGAGCCCCCAGCUGCUUUACCUGUGGGAGCUGUGGCCUCCCGCCUGCUGGGGUGUGAGAACAGAUCAUAUUUACGUUGUCACGGGCAACGGACUAUAGGACACAGGUCUUCCGGUGUACCGACAAUGGCAUGCAGGUGAGCUGUGAGAUUAAGGAAACGUGCAGAUCCAAGCUGCUGUCUUCAACAUCCUCAUUUCAAGAAAAGGAACUGGAAGCUUCAAAACAAGGAAGCAGGAGAAGCUUUACUGUCAAAACUGAGCCAUAUGUGAAGCAGCUUGCAACAGCAGGCUGCAUCCACAAUUGUUCCUUGAGGUUACAUGACACUCUGCUUGACCAUGAUGGAGUUGUACAGGGACAUACUAGAUGAACACAGUUUAAACAUGCAUGUGAUCAAGCAAGGAAAAUCUACAAUAAUCGUCUCUGUAACUGAAAUCCACAGUGAAUUAUUGAUUUCAUUAGUGAAAAUAAAUAAUAGAAAAAGCAAUAAGAAUUUGCUCAAACUGUUGAAUGAGAACAAUCACAUCACAAAGCAUUGUUUAAAAAUGUAUUAAGUGACAAUAGAUGUUCACAAUGUACUGGAUUUGUAAAGAUUAUUCUACACAUGUAAAUCCAGCCGUGUUUGUCCAAGACUUGAAGCAAAUGGAAACUAGGGGCAACACAGCUUUUACGUCUCAAAAUGAAAUAAUGAUCUUAAUGCAUAUGAUAAGAAAGGAAAGAGGAAGGGAGUUCCCCUGCACAGGUAAUCUCUAUUUUACCUUGAUAUCUUUCUUUGUGCUAUUUUAUUUGGAGUUUGAUUAGAAGCAGAGCUCAGUGCCAUGUAUUUCAAAUAACCCCCUGCAAGACUGAAUUAUUUCUACAGGGACCAGCUUUUCUUUU